This is a small nucleolar RNA of Tachyglossus aculeatus (Australian echidna), 138 nucleotides long. Lineage: Eukaryota; Metazoa; Chordata; Mammalia; Monotremata; Tachyglossidae. The record is from RefSeq and is a predicted model, not a curated record.
CCCCUCUCAGAACUGCAUCUGGAGAGUUUCCAGUACUUUACCAGUCUCAGCUACCAGAAGGAGAGUCAAGCAGAGGCAUGCCCAUUCCAUUCCUAACUUGGACAGUGGCUAGGAAAUGGAAGGCAAUCUGCUACAAGU